Molecule: ribosomal RNA, 429 nt
Filed under: Acidobacteriota bacterium
Lineage: Bacteria; Pseudomonadati; Acidobacteriota
Description: Acidobacteria bacterium partial 16S ribosomal RNA
Rfam family: Bacterial small subunit ribosomal RNA
Source: RNAcentral
UGGGGAAUUUUGGACAAUGGGGGAAACCCUGAUCCAGCCAUCCCGCGUGUGCGAUGAAGGCCUUUGGGUUGUAAAGCACUUUUGGCAGGAAAGAAACGUCAUGGGUUAAUACCCCGUGAAACUGACGGUACCUGCAGAAUAAGCACCGGCUAACUACGUGCCAGCAGCCGCGGUAAUACGUAGGGUGCAAGCGUUAAUCGGAAUUACUGGGCGUAAAGCGUGCGCAGGCGGUUCGGAAAGAAAGAUGUGAAAUCCCAGAGCUCAACUUUGGAACUGCAUUUUUAACUACCGGGCUAGAGUGUGUCAGAGGGAGGUGGAAUUCCGCGUGUAGCAGUGAAAUGCGUAGAUAUGCGGAGGAACACCGAUGGCGAAGGCAGCCUCCUGGGAUAACACUGACGCUCAUGCACGAAAGCGUGGGGAGCAAACAGG